This is a long non-coding RNA of Monodelphis domestica (gray short-tailed opossum), 1057 nucleotides long. The record is from Ensembl. NCBI's taxonomy places the organism in Eukaryota, Metazoa, Chordata, Mammalia, Didelphimorphia, Didelphidae.
CCCAAAUCCUAUACCCAUGUAAACAAAUGAUAAAUCAUAUGUUUUCUUCUGGAUUUCUACUCCCAUAUUUCUUUCUCAGAUGUGAAUAGCAUUCUUUCUCAUACAUCCCUCAGAACGGUCCUAGGUCAUUGCAUUGCUUUUAGUAGCAAAUCCAAUUACAAUUGAUUGUCCCAUAGUGUUUCAGUUACUAGAUAUAAUGUUUUUCUGGUUCUGCUUAUUUCACUCCACAUCAGUUCAUGGAAGUCUUUCCAGUUCAUAUAGAAAUCCAUUGAUUCAUCAUUCCUUAUAGCACAAUAGUAUUCCAUCACCAUCUUAUACCACAAUUUGUUUAGCCAUUCCCCAAUCCAGGGACAUCUAAGGGUUGUUUUUAAAAAAAAUUCUAGUCGACAGACAAGGAAAUUGAGGCUUAUGAAGGUAAAGUUUGACUUGCUACUCACUUGCCCCGUAAUUCUGAAUGGCGGUCAUUGGCUUGUUUGAGUCUCCAGUUUCCUUACCUGUAAAAUGGUAAUACUGAUGUCCAUGCCCCAUCUGGCUCACUAUAACGAUCUCACACUGUCCUUGUGAGGUCACACAGAUCACAAGUGGCAGCAUGUGAACCCUAGCUCCUCUGACUCCAAAUGCAUUGUGCUCUUUUUACAGCCCUCGCUGGGGGCAUAUAUAUGCUUUCCUCUAAAGCAGCAUCUGCUCAGGGCUGAGUGUGGUGUGGACUCUUCUGAUGUGGGAGUUGAGAGGGCAGAGGGCUGAGGUGGUUAGGGAUGGCUUUUGGAAAGAGCUGAGAGUUCAUUCAAGCUAAGCCUGGAAGGAUGAAUGAGAUUUGGAAGCAGGUUCUGAUUGAGGGAACUUUAGGUUGACUGCUCUGGAGAUGGCUGAAGGAGAGCAGGGAUGCAACACAGUCCUUGUAUUCAGAGGACACCCACAAAAGCAGGCAGCAAAGAUGGAUGGUAAUAAAGCUUCAAUAUCAAGUGACUCCCCACUUGCUUCUAACCCAGGUGUCUUGGCAGAACUAAAAGGAAGCAUGGCUUGUGAUCACAGCUCAGUCAUACAAGGAAAGAUUUAG